This 253-nucleotide ribosomal RNA is filed under the name uncultured bacterium. Its description in RNAcentral is "partial 16S ribosomal RNA". It matches the Rfam family "Bacterial small subunit ribosomal RNA", at positions 524 to 776 of the family's 1533-position model. The record is from RNAcentral.
UACGUAGGUGGCAAGCGUUAUCCGGAAUUAUUGGGCGUAAAGCGCGCGCAGGCGGUUUCUUAAGUCUGAUGUGAAAGCCCACGGCUCAACCGUGGAGGGUCAUUGGAAACUGGGAAACUUGAGUGCAGAAGAGAAGAGUGGAAUUCCACGUGUAGCGGUGAAAUGCGUAGAGAUGUGGAGGAACACCAGUGGCGAAGGCGACUCUGUGGUCUGUAACUGACGCUGAGGCGCGAAAGCGUGGGGAGCAAACAGG